AUCUGUACGUUUCUAUCCGUUGUCUGAAUUUCUGAGCCUAUAACAGCAACAUUAUCAACAUUCCUAUUUAACAGAGACACAGAAGCUGCUGCAGCUGUAGAAACGGUCACAGCAACAACAUCUUGAGCAAGAUUCCCUAUUACAAGCAACAACAGGAUAUCUGGAUAAGCCAUAAGUUUCCAUGCUGUUUCGCCAAAAAGAUCACUAAAAACAGAAGUGGGUAUCAAUAAAUUCUAAAAAUCAGUAAAGCACCUUCACUUUAAAUUAAUUUUCUCUCUACUUAGUUAGAUUUACUAUGAGUUAUUUUUCUAUCGUCAUACGAGUUGCUGUCGGCCUUGUGCCGAUACAGAAGGAGUGGAAAUAAGAAAGAAAAUACAGAAUGAAAGAAAAGUCUAUAACUCUAAUGUUAAGCUAAUUAGGUGUGAUUGUGUUUCGACAGAGCAAUGUGUCUUUAUUUCGCAUAGAUGCAUGCUUCAUUAUGUACUACACAUGCUUCUAGUUUGUUGCAGAUAUUGUAUGGCUUGAAACUUUGCUUUUAUAUCAAUUUGAAAUCCGUUAACCAAAAGAGAGAUUGAGACAUCCACAGUAGAUAGAAUGUAAGUGGUAAUUUUAGAUUCAACAAAACUAUUUUAUAAGAAGCAAUCAUGAUAAACUGCAUGCCGAUAAUACAACAACUGCCCGCAAUGCACAUAAUCUUAUGUGCAUAAGCUAUAGAAUAUUAAAGGCUCUUAUCCACAGCUUGUAUUCAAGUAAUCAAGCCAUGACCCCAACUGGAGUAAAUGAGGCAGGAAAACCCAAUCUGAAUACUGACCAAAAGAUUCAGAACUAGAUAUUCAAAAGACCAAGAUAAAUCUAAUAAGAACAUGUAAAGGGAUGGUAUGAUGACCGAUAACCUGAACUUACUCAAGUGAGACACCAUACUGUUACAAACAUAAGAGGAUAUUGACAAUUAGCAGGCCCUAUUUGGAUAAACAGUUUAACUUAUCAUAUAAGUGCUUAUGUAUGAACUAUUUAUAGAAUAAAAGUAAAAGUAUAGUCAAACUAUUUUCAUAUAAGCUAUAUGCUUUUUAAUAAGCUGUCCUAAAGAGCUUAUAGAAAUAAACUAAAACAGCUUACGAACAUGUCAUGAGUUGUUUUCACAAGCAAUAUCAAACAGUCUCACAAGUUCUUGUACCAGUAGAUAGUAGAUAAUCCCAAAUAAGUCAAUCCAAACAGGCAAAUAUCCUUACAUCGAUUGAAUAAAACUUGAUAUAUUUAUGUCAAUAACUAAGAUGUUAUUUGAUAUUUGUCUUAGACAGCGAAUAAAAAUUGUGUAUGACAAACAAAUUGUACUAUGCAUGCAUGUAAACGAGGAACAUGUGAUGAAUAUAAUGCAUGUCCACUUACAUAAAAGACCAUCAUCGCAGUCUUCUUCUUCUUCUUGGUUCAUUUGAAACUUGUCUUGAAGCGCGAUUUCCUCUUCUACUUCUAGAUGAAGAAGGGUCUAGCGAACUAACCUGUACAUUUCUAUCAGUUGUAUGAAUUUGUGAGCCUGUAACAGCAACAUUAUCAACAUUAUCAACAUUCCUACUUAAAGGAGAAACAGAAGCUGCGGCAGCUACAGAAUUGGUCAGAUCAACAUCUCGAGCACGACUCUCUGACUGGUUUGUAGCAGCAACACCUAAAGUUGAAUUUCUAGUAACAGCAGGAGGAUUUUGCUCUCUGCUUCCUCCUGUAUUGUGACCAUUGAUAUAUGACUCAAGGUCCUGGACUAAUCUUUCAGC
RNAcentral lists this long non-coding RNA (1763 nucleotides) under Medicago truncatula (barrel medic). RNAcentral describes it as "long non-coding RNA (MTRU_LNC001597)". Lineage: Eukaryota; Viridiplantae; Streptophyta; Magnoliopsida; Fabales; Fabaceae. The record is from RNAcentral.